CUGUAGUAGAGGAGGAGGGGUUAUAGGUGUCUGUAGUAGAGGAGGAGGGGUUAUAGGUGUCUGUAGUAGAGGAGGAGGGUUAUAGGUGUCUGUAGUAGAGGAGGAGGGUUAUAGGUGUCUGUAGUAGAGGAGGAGGAGGGUUAUAGGUGUCUGUAGUAGAGGAGGAGGGUUAUAGGUGUCUGUAGUAGAGGAGGAGGGUUAUAGGUGUCUGUAGUAGAGGAGGAGGAGGGUUAUAGGUGUCUGUAGUAGAGGAGGAGGGUUAUAGGUGUCUGUAGUAGAGGAGGAGGGGUUAUAGGUGUCUGUAGUAGAGGAGGAGGGUUAUAGGUGUCUGUAGUAGAGGAGGAGGAGGGGUUAUAGGUGUCUGUAGUAGAGGAGGAGGGUUAUAGGUGUCUGUAGUAGAGGAGGGGGGUUAUAGGUGUCUGUAGUAGAGGAGGAGGAGGGGUUAUAGGUGUCUGUAGUAGAGGAGGAGGGGUUAUAGGUGUCUGUAGUAGAGGAGGAGGGGGGGUUAUAGGUGUCUGUAGUAGAGGAGGAGGAGGGGUUAUAGGUGUCUGUAGUAGAGGAGGAGGAGGGGUUAUAGGUGUCUGUAGUAGAGGAGGAGGAGGGGUUAUAGGUGUCUGUAGUAGAGGAGGAGGAGGGGUUAUAGGUGUCUGUAGUAGAGGAGGAGGAGGGGUUAUAGGUGUCUGUAGUAGAGGAGGAGGGGUUAUAGGUGUCUGUAGUAGAGGAGGAGGGUUAUAGGUGUCUGUAGUAGAGGAGGAGGGGUUAUAGGUGUCUGUAGUAGAGGAGGGUUAUAGGUGUCUGUAGUAGAGGAGGAGGGGUUAUAGGUGUCUGUAGUAGAGGAGGAGGGGUUAUAGGUGUCUGUAGUAGAGGAGGAGGAGGGUUAUAGGUGUCUGUAGUAGAGGAGGAGGGGUUAUAGGUGUCUGUAGUAGAGGAGGAGGGGUUAUAGGUGUCUGUAGUAGAGGAGGAGGGUUACAGGUGUCUGUAGUAGAGGAGGAGGAGGGUUAUAGGUGUCUGUAGUAGAGGAGGGGAGGGGUUAUAGGUGUCUGUAGUAGAGGAGAGGAGGGUUAUAGGUGUCUGUAGUAGAGGAGGAGGAGGGGUUAUAGGUGUCUGUAGUAGAGGAGGAGGAGGGGUUAUAGGUGUCUGUAGUAGAGGAGGAGGAGGGGUUAUAGGUGUCUGUAGUAGAGGAGGAGGGGUUAUAGGUGUCUGUAGUAGAGGAGGAGGGGUUAUAGGUGUCUGUAGUAGAGGAGUCAGGGGUUAUAGGUGUCUGUAGUAGAGGAGGAGGGGUUAUAGGUGUCUGUAGUAGAGGAGGAGGGGUUAUAGGUGUCUGUAGUAGAGGAGGAGGAGGGUUAUAGGUGUCUGUAGUAGCGAGGGGGUCCAUAGUGCAUGGGCAUGUUGACGUCUAUAUUGUUCAGGUUGUUGUUGACCUGGUUGGGGGGUGG
Oncorhynchus tshawytscha (Chinook salmon) is the source of this 1436-nucleotide long non-coding RNA. NCBI's taxonomy places the organism in Eukaryota, Metazoa, Chordata, Actinopteri, Salmoniformes, Salmonidae. The record is from Ensembl.